AUAAAAAGGGAAGAAAAAGGCUCUUUUGUUGAAUCAGAACUUCAGUUUUUGUGGAAAAAUUUAGAUUUUUUUUGUUCUCCUUCUCCUCCUCUUUUUUCUCCUUUUCCAUCUUAUCUUUUUCCAGAAAAAAAGGGGAUG
RNAcentral lists this non-coding RNA (138 nucleotides) under Paramoeba aestuarina. The record is from RNAcentral. Lineage: Eukaryota; Discosea; Flabellinia; Dactylopodida; Paramoebidae.